AUGCCAGCGUCCCCGGUCAGUGAUGGAAGAGCUAAGCGGAACAGGACGGGUUGUUUCCAGAGGAAAGAAAGGGACCCCUCAGGCAAAGCUGGGGGCACCGCUGGGUGGAGAUUUGGGGUGGGGCAGGCUCCCCUUCUCCAGCCAGCACCGGGUGGGCAGGGGCCGGGGGUCCACCUGCUGGCUCCUGUGGGUGCUGGGCUCCUGGCCCCAUGCCCGGCAGUGCUCAUGGGUGGGGGCAGCACUAAGGAGCCCCCUCCACAGGGGAGCCUGGGCCCUGGGGAAGGGGGCAGGAGCUGGGCCUGGAAUGCGCUUCUAGCUCCAAUGCCACCUCUUGGAAGCCUCCCUGGGCUGCCACCCGGGUCAGGGUCCCAGCUAUGGCUCUUGUGCCCUCCCCCCCCCCCCAUGGUAAGCACAACAUCUUCUGGGCUGCUCUGGCUCCUGCUUCCCCGGAGCUGGCAGGACGGCCACCUGGAGCCGGCCCGGGGCCAUCUGCUGCUCCUGGGUCUGAGAAACUCAUUAAAAGGCCUACCUGUGCAGAAGGCGGGAAAGUGCGCGCGCCGGUGGUGGGGCCUGGGGAGCGGCCGUGCCCCCCACCCCACCCCGCUGCCCCCCUGCCUCCCGCAGGCAGAGUCCGUGAGACCCCAAACUCCUGGGCCGCCGCUGUGGCCACACGUGCGGGGACGCCAGCACCCCCCGGCUGGCUCUCGGUCCUGUCCCGGUUGCUCCAGUUCUGAUCCAGCCCCUGCAGGUCGGCGGCGCCAGGGCUGCUUCCCCAUGGGCGACCUGGAGGACGCUCCUGGCUCCUGGCUUCAGCCUGGCCCAGCCCUUACUGUUGGCCAUCUGGGGAGCGCAGGAAAGGGAAAGACCACAAACUCAAAAUCCCUCUGCUCCAAGCCCCCAGAGCUCCCCUGGGGUGCACCACAACACCCACGCACCACGGUGGUCUCCUGCCCCUCCGCACACUCAGCCACGGCCACUCUGGCCUCUCAUGCAGGCCUGGCUCCUGCCUCAGGGCCUUUGCACUGGCUCUCCCAUUCCCAGACAUCUGGAGAUGCCGCCUGCUCCCCGCGCCCGCCCGCACAGUGGAUUGGCCGCUGUUCUCCGGGCUUCCGGAGAAGUGGGGGUGGGCAAGGAUGUGGUCUGGAGCGCGUGAGAGAGACAGAGAAGUCGGGGCGGCGGCCACUUCCACAAAAGCAAAAUUAG
This 1203-nucleotide long non-coding RNA is filed under the name Oryctolagus cuniculus (rabbit). Its description in RNAcentral is "lncRNA (ENSOCUG00000037716.1)". Lineage: Eukaryota; Metazoa; Chordata; Mammalia; Lagomorpha; Leporidae. The record is from RNAcentral.